Non-coding RNA from Camelus ferus (Wild Bactrian camel), 73 nucleotides. The record is from Rfam. Lineage: Eukaryota; Metazoa; Chordata; Mammalia; Artiodactyla; Camelidae.
GGAGAGUACAGCUCAGUGGUAGAGUGAGUGCUUAGCAUGCAGGAGGUCCUGAGUUCAAUCCCCAGUACCUCCA